This 1306-nucleotide ribosomal RNA is filed under the name uncultured bacterium. Its description in RNAcentral is "bacterial SSU rRNA". It matches the Rfam family "Bacterial small subunit ribosomal RNA", at positions 28 to 1381 of the family's 1533-position model. The record is from RNAcentral.
AACGUACGCUGGCGGCACGCCUAACACAUGCAAGUCGAACGAAGUAGCAAUACUUAGUGGCAGACGGGUGAGUAACAUGUGGGUAUCUGCCCUUUGGCCUGGAAUAACACGAGGAAACUUGUGCUAAUACCGGAUAAGUCUUUACGGAGAAAGCUUUAUGCACCAUUGGAUGAGCCCGCACUUGAUUAGUUUGUUGGUGGGGUAAUGGCCUACCAAGACUGUGAUCAAUAGCUGAUUUGAGAGGAUGAUCAGCCACAUUGGGACUGAGACACGGCCCAAACUCCUACGGGAGGCAGCAGUGGGGAAUCUUGCACAAUGGAGGAAACUCUGAUGCAGCGAUGCCGCGUGAGUGAAGAAGGCCCUUGGGUUGUAAAGCUCUUUCGUCGGGGAAGAAAAUGACUGUACCCGAAUAAGAAGGUCCGGCUAACUUCGUGCCAGCAGCCGCGGUAAUACGAAGGGACCUAGCGUAGUUCGGAAUUACUGGGCUUAAAGAGUUCGUAGGUGGUUGAAAAAGUUAGUGGUGAAAUCCCAGAGCUUAACUCUGGAACUGCCAUUAAAACUUUUCAGCUAGAGUAUGAUAGAGGAAAGCAGAAUUUCUAGUGUAGAGGUGAAAUUCGUAGAUAUUAGAAAGAAUACCAAUUGCGAAGGCAGCUUUCUGGAUCAUUACUGACACUGAGGAACGAAAGCAUGGGUAGCGAAGAGGAUUAGAUACCCUCGUAGUCCAUGCCGUAAACGAUGUGUGUUAGACGUUGGAAAUUUAUUUUCAGUGUCGCAGCGAAAGCGAUAAACACACCGCCUGGGGAGUACGACCGCAAGGUUAAAACUCAAAUGAAUUGACGGGGACCCGCACAAGUAGUGGAGCAUGUGGUUUAAUUCGAAGAUACGCGCAGAACCUUACCAACACUUGACAUGUUCGUCGCGACUCUAAGAGAUUAGAGUUUUCGGUUCGGCCGGACGAAACACAGGUGCUGCAUGGCUGUCGUCAGCUCGUGUCGUGAGAUGUUGGGUUAAGUCCCGCAACGAGCGCAACCCUCACUUUUAGUUGCCAUCAUUAAGUCGGGCACUCUGAAAGAACUGCCAGUGAUAAGCUGGAGGAAGGUGGGGAUGACGUCAAGUCCUCAUGGCCCUUACGUGUUGGGCUACACACGUGCUACAAUGGUAUCUACAACAGGAAGCAAGACUGCGAGGUCAAGCAAAUCCUUAAAAGAUACCUCAGUUCGGAUUGCACCCUGCAACUCGAGUGCAUGAAGCUGGAAUUACUAGUAAUCGUGGAUCAGCGUGCCACGGUGAAUGCGUUCCCGGGUCU